UAAUACGUAGGGUGCAGGCGUUAAUCGGAAUUACUGGCCGUAAAGCGUGCGCAGGCGGUCUAUUAAGACAGGUGUGAAAUCCCCGGGCUUAACCUGGGAACUGCGCUUGUAACUGAUAGGCUUGAGUGUGGCAGAGGGGGGUGGAAUUCCAGGUGUAGCAGUGAAAUGCGUAGAGAUCUGGAGGAACACCGAUGGCGAAGGCAGCCCCCUGGGCUAACACUGACGCUCAUGCACGAAAGCGUGGGGAGCAAACAGGAUUAGAUACCCUGGUAGUCCACGCCCUAAACUAUGUCAACUGGUUGUCGGGGAAAGCAAUUCCUUGGUAACGAAGCUAACGCGUGAAGUUGACCGCCUGGGGAGUACCGCCGCAAGGCU
Molecule: ribosomal RNA, 375 nt
Filed under: uncultured bacterium
Lineage: Bacteria
Description: bacterial SSU rRNA
Rfam family: Bacterial small subunit ribosomal RNA
Source: RNAcentral